GCAUAACAAUAGAAAAUUCACAAAACAAUGGCUGCUAAACAAAUUUACAUUUAGAGGACAAAAUUAUUUUACCUUUACCUGUAAAUUUAGACAUAUUCACGAUGUUGUAAUAGUAGGUACUAGACCUAUCUACAAAAGGCUGCCUUCUAGAAUAUAAAACAGUGGAGAAUUUGAAUCACUUUGGACUACAGUAUUCUAUAUGAAAUCAAAUAUCUUUAUUUCGUAGAAUCGCGCCAAACGUAAAUAAAGCUAUUACAAUGAUCGGUUCUUGGACUUUUAAGAUCUGCUGGCCAAUCUUAAAGCCGUCUUCUGACGAGCAAUGUGAUGAAUCUUUUACAUCUCGCUGGGCUGCGUACUUCACAUUUGGUCAUUAAAUAUACAUUAGUAAAGGGAAUCCUGAUGAUAACAUCGGUUUUAACAAUAUUUGGGGUGAAAAACUAGAGGAAGAAUCACUUGUUCAAUAAAAAGGUUCAUACGUUCUGUGAAUAGAUGGUUAAUAGUGAAUUGUCAAUACUACUAUGUUUGUGCCGUUUAAAAAUUGUAAUAGUUACUUUACACUUCGUAUUAAUUAUCUGCUCUAGUUUACGCGUAUUGAUCGCAGCUACGUUCGGAACAGAAAACAACUAAUACAUAAUAUCUACAAAUCAGUGUUUAGUACCCAUAAACUAUCUGAAAAUGUGUGCCCCUACGGAUUCCAUGGAUUUUUCAACUCUUGAAGAUGAUCAAUGUAUAGUAAAAGUAUUCGGUCUUUGUUGUCCAAAUCUGGCAGUGAAGAGGAAAAGGAGAAUCAAAGUGAGAAAUCGGGAGAAUUGUCUGAAAAAAUCGAAGCAAGUAACGAUUCCUUUUCGUCAUAUUUUACAUUUCUUGAAGAAGAGGAAUGCAUUGUACAAGUAACGGAAAUCACAAAUAAAGAAGUACACGAGAUAGUUACAGAAAAUGGAUUGAAGUAUUUGGUAACAGUCCCAGAUAGAUUGAGAGACAAACUACGCGUUGGAAACUGGGUUUUAAUUCAACCCACUGAGGAUGGGUCGACUCAUCCUGCUGAAAUAUUGGACGUAAUAGACACUCCGCGAAAGCGUUUUUAUGGACACAACAAUUUAUAACCAAGCCAAGAUCUAACUUGACAAAGCUAGGACCAGAUACAAGAACAAACGAUCAACAAAGUCACUGAGAAAUAGACCAACUUUAAAACAAAGUAAGAAACAAAAGGAAAAUCAAUUAAAUUUUUAAGAGCACACGGAAUCGCAUAUUAUAAUUAUUGAAAAAAAAAGAAAACCUAAAAUUUUUUUUCAAAUUAACUGACAUAACUUGACAACACUACUAUAAUUUCUUGCGUCAUCACUGGUCACGAGACUUAGAGUAUGGAAAAAAUCAUGAGAUUAUAAAAUAUGAGGAUGAAUUACGCACAUUAGCGUGGUCAGCUUCUUAAAAAAAGAAAUUUAUAAAUGAAGAACAAAUAUAACAACAUUUAUAAAAACAAUUCGACAAAAGUUGACUAUGCUUAAACAUAAUGGAUUGAUCAUUGAAGAUGAAGGGGAUCUACUGCCAUCAAAGGACAAAUUUUGUACUACGGAAUCUUCUAGAACAGAAAACAUCCCAAGAGAGAUAGAGAAAAGAGACUUGUAUUGACCAAUUUAAGACCGAGUGUCUCCCUUAUUACACAAUAUAUUCCUGCUUCGAAUACCAUCACUAAUUUUUACGUAAUAAUUUAUAAAUUUAUAUACAUUGCACCAUAAUGCAGUAUUCCGAUGUAUUGUGUAGUUUUAUAUCUAUGACCUUAAAAAUGAAAUCAAUGGAUUACAUACGCGUUUAGUUAUUUUUAUAUUUUUAAAUGUUUCGAAACCAUUCUGCCAAAUCAUUACGGUGUCAAC
RNA transcript from Hyposmocoma kahamanoa, 1871 nucleotides. RefSeq lists it as uncharacterized. The transcript is spliced from 6 exons. The record is from RefSeq and is a predicted model, not a curated record. Lineage: Eukaryota; Metazoa; Arthropoda; Insecta; Lepidoptera; Cosmopterigidae.